RNAcentral lists this ribosomal RNA (253 nucleotides) under uncultured bacterium. RNAcentral's name for it is "partial 16S ribosomal RNA". It matches the Rfam family "Bacterial small subunit ribosomal RNA", at positions 524 to 776 of the family's 1533-position model. The record is from RNAcentral.
UACGAAGGGGGCUAGCGUUGCUCGGAAUCACUGGGCGUAAAGCGCACGUAGGCGGUCUUUUAAGUCAGGGGUGAAAUCCUGGAGCUCAACUCCAGAACUGCCUUUGAUACUGAGGGACUUGAGUCCGGGAGAGGUGAGUGGAACUGCGAGUGUAGAGGUGAAAUUCGUAGAUAUUCGCAAGAACACCAGUGGCGAAGGCGGCUCACUGGCCCGAUACUGACGCUGAGGCACGAAAGCGUGGGGAGCAAACAGG